RNAcentral lists this long non-coding RNA (1268 nucleotides) under Homo sapiens (human). RNAcentral describes it as "HSALNT0384722". Lineage: Eukaryota; Metazoa; Chordata; Mammalia; Primates; Hominidae. The record is from RNAcentral.
ACUCACUUUUAACUGAGGACAGGCACUUUGUAUAAGAAUAACCUUGAAAAGUGUGCAGGACCUAAUUGGAAGUAACUAAAAAUUAAAUACAUUUCCUAAAGGUUACUUUGUUUCAUAUGAGUACUAAGAUGCCAAAAAGUUUUACAAAAAUUCAAAUAGAUUUAAUCUAGUUUUACUCUUUUCAUAAGUUUUUCAUUUUAUUUUAUUUAUUUAUUUUUGAGACAGAGUCUUGCUCUGUAGCCCAGGCUGGAGUGCAGUGGUGCGAUCUUAGCUCACUGCAGCCUCUGCCUCCCAGGUUCAAAUGAUUUUCCUGCCUCAGCCUCUCGAGUAGCUGGGACUACAUUGCAUGUGCCAUUAUGCCCAGCUAAUUUUUCUAUUUUUAGUAGAAAUGGGGUCUCACCAUGGUCCUGACCUCAAGCGAUCCACCACCUCGGCCUCCCAAAGUGCUGGGAUUAUAGCCGUUAGCUCUCACACCCAGUCCAACUUACACAUUUUUUUUUUUUAAAGAGAUGGGGUCACACAGUGUUUCCCAGGCUGGUCUCAAACUCCUGGAUUCAAACAAUCUUCCCAUCUCGGCUUGCCAAAGUGUUGGGAUUACAAGCAUGAGCCACUGUGCCCAGCCAAUUCCAUGGACUUUUAAAGCAUUUUUUGGCUCAAAAAGGAUAUGUUCUUAGUUAUCUAACCAGUAUAUCUCUUUAUAUUUACUGAAAAUCUGUUUUCCUAUUUAAGUAUUUUCAGGUUCUCAAUAACUGCACAUGAAAUUAACAGCUUUCAUAGUCACAAAUUAUUGCAAUAUUUUGCUGUUAUACUAAAUAUGGGUUUUUUUUGUUUGUUUUUAAGACAGAGUCUAGCUCUGUUACCCAGGUUGCAGUGAGCUGAGAUUGUGCUGUUGCGCUCCAGCCUGGGCAACAGAGUGAGACUUCAUCUCAAAAAAGAAAAAAAAAGGUGAAAGGAUGACUUAAACCCAGGGUGUCGAGGUUGCAGGGAAAUUCAGAAAUGCCACUGAAGGGCCAGGCAUGGUGUCCAACACCUACAAUCCCAGCACUUUGGGAGGCAGAAGCAGGUGCAUCACCUGAAGUCGGGAGUUCGAGACCAGCGUGGCCAACAUGGUGGAAUGCUGUCUCUACUAAAAAUACAAAAAUUAGCAGGAUGUGGUGGUGCGUGCCUGUAAUCCCAGCUACUUGGGAGGCUGAGACAGAAGAAUCAUUUGAACCCCGGAGGCAGAGGUUGCACUCCGCCUGGGUGACAAGAGUGGAACUCCAUCUUAA